CCAAGAAGUCCAACAUGUGCGCGAGUCAUUGGGUCCUACGAAACCUAAAGGCGUAAUGAAGGUGAAGGCAGGUUCGGCCUGCUGAGGUGAGAUCCUCGUCCACUCGGGCGGGGCGCAUCACCGGCCCGUCUGCAAAGGCGGAGCAAGAGCGCACACGUUGGGACCCGAAAGAUGGUGAACUAUGCCUGAGCAGGAUGAAGCCAGAGGAAACUCUGGUGGAAGUCCGUAGCGAUUCUGACGUGCAAAUCGAUCGUCGAACUUGGGUAUAGGGGCGAAAGACUAAUCGAACCAUCUAGUAGCUGGUUCCCUCCGAAGUUUCCCUCAGGAUAGCUGGCGCUCGUCAAACAGUUUUAUCCGGUAAAGCGAAUGAUUAGAGGCCUUGGGGACGAAACGUCCUCAACCUAUUCUCAAACUUUAAAUGGGUAAGGAGUCGGACUCGCUUGAUUGGAGUCCGGACUGGAAUGUGAGUGCCAAGUGGGCCACUUUUGGUAAGCAGAACUGGCGCUGUGGGAUGAGCCAAACGUCCGGAUAAGGUGCCUAACACUGACGCUCAUGAGAUACCAUAAAAGGUGUUGGCUGAUAUAGACAGCAGGACGGUGGCCAUGGAAGUCGGAAUCCGCUAAGGAGUGUGUAACAAAUCACCUGCCGAAUCAACCAGCCCUGAAAAUGGAUGGCGCUAGAGCGUCGGACCUAUACCGGACCGUUGCUGGCAAUAAAGAACCCCUCGGGGGAGUCACGCCGCAACGAGUAGGAGGGUCGCCGAGGUGAGCGUGGAAGCUUGGGGCGCGAGCCUGAGUGGAGCCGCCUCGGGUGCAGAUCUUGGUGGUAGUAGCAAAUAUUCAAACGAGAACUUUGAAGGCUGAAGUGGAGAAGGGUUCCAUGUGAACAGCACUUGAACAUGGGUCAGUCGGUCCUAAGACAUAGGAGAACUCCGUUCCGAAACGGGGGCCAUGAGCUUUCGUGAAAACUUCUGCUCGCCCUUCCUAUAGGUCGAAAGGGAAUCUGGUUAAUAUUCCAGAACCUGGCCACGGAGAUUGACCUCGCAAGGGGUCUCGUGCGGUAACGCAAACGAAGUCGGAGACGUCUGCGAGAGCCCCGGGAAGAGUUUUCUUUUCUUUGUAAGGGUCCCACUCCCUGGAAUCGACUUGCUCGGCGAUAGGGACACGGGGAUUGCCCGUAAAGCACCGCGGCUCUUGCGGUGUCCGGUGCGCUCUCGACGACCCUUGAAAAUCCGACGGAGACGGUGUUAUUUUCGUGCCAGGCCGUACCCAUAUCCGCAUCAGGUCUCCAAGGUUCACAGCCUCUAGCCAAUAGAAAACA
Molecule: ribosomal RNA, 1320 nt
Filed under: Astralium milloni
Lineage: Eukaryota; Metazoa; Mollusca; Gastropoda; Trochida; Turbinidae
Description: eukaryotic LSU rRNA
Rfam family: Eukaryotic large subunit ribosomal RNA
Source: RNAcentral